CGUCGACAUGGCGAUGGUUAGACGACACAAACGGGAGAAAACCUGGUCUAGCAUGGACAUCACCAUUAAAGUAAUCUACUAGUUUCACAUGGUCAAUUACAACACCGGUCAAAAGCUUGGACAUACUUACUUGGAUAAUGUGGUGCCUUACAGGAUUGCAUGUCGUUUGCUACUUGCUAUCAGAGGCUGCAUCGUUGCUCAUUCACUCGAAGACCAGAGGCUGCCAUUAGUUGCUACACCCUUGAAAAUGUUUGCUCCCUCAGCUUUGGGGCCCAUGAAAGAGGUGGAGGCGCACAUGAAUGCAGAAAUGGACGGCCAAGGGUGGAGUGGAGCUAACAAGGCCAGACAAAGGCGGGAAUGAGGACCACCUGCAAUGGGAGACGAAAGGAACACAUGCAGCGAUGACAGCCCACUGAUGGGUUGAACACGUUAGUACAGGAUGCUCUGGUUGAUCGCGAGAGAGGAAGAGAAGGAAUGAAGAAGGCACUGUGGGGAAAAGAGGGAGGCAGAGUGAGGGGAGAGGUAUAUGGGAAGCAAGGGAGG
Molecule: long non-coding RNA, 543 nt
Organism: Esox lucius (northern pike)
Lineage: Eukaryota; Metazoa; Chordata; Actinopteri; Esociformes; Esocidae
Source: Ensembl